AUAUAAAACUAGUUAUUUCCAUUCUAAUCGAUCUGACAUAUUUCUUGAGAAACGUCAAUGAGACUGUCAAUAACGAUAACGAUCUUUGAACGAUAGCUUCGACAAUUUUAGAGCUCUACGCCUACUUUUCACGUUUCCAGCGUUAAGGAAUUGUGAUUAGCAUACAAAGAAUGCAAAGGUGAACGAAGUAACCUUCGGCAAAUUAAAAUUCAAAUUGGUUGACCCAACGCGAGGCAACGUUACAAAAUUCAGUAAAUAAUUCAACGAAUAUCUCGACCUUUUCGUGGUACUAUUAUAACAUUUGAUCUUCUAUUUCCCACGUCCAUCAUCGACCGCGACAAAAUGCCCUAAUUUACAUCAUAAUUACAUGAUCGACAGAGGAAACUGGUCAUUAACCUUGUUCGAUUUACGAUAUACAAAGCGGGCUUAAAUUCAUCAUUUCCGAAACGGAUUCGUUUCCAACGUGCUGCCAUUGUUCAGUGAAUAAAUAGAGUCCUUGGAUACAAUCGAAAAUCUGUUUUUCUGUAUACGUAUUUCAAUCCCUAAACACAUAAAAGUCUUCAAACGAUAGCAGAUUUUUAGGAAAAAUGAAAUAAUUAUAUGGUGUCAGCUUGAAAAUGUUUUUUAUUAUUGCAUAUCUAAUUUGCUUUCGAUAUUUUAUGUAGUUUUACGUAUUUAUAUUUCUUGUACAAUCAAUUUCCUUAUCAGAGAUGUGACACGUGUCAGAAAGUGACAUCAGCAUCGAUUCAUCGCAGAACGUCUUCGUUCGGACGUGAUUUUUAUGCCCCUCGCCGCGGAACUGAUUCAUUUUCUGUUCGCUAACUAAGUAGCUUCGGUUCCUUCGCAUCGCUUGAUACUUUGAAACCGAGGGAAACCCGAAUGAAAUUUCGCGGUGGAAGGUUCGUCCGAUGACCACGGUCUCCCUUUGUGGUUGCUCGAGGACGCGUUGAAAUAGAGCUGGCAGACAAAGAACGGAAGUCUCGCAGCCGUGACGAACGAGUCCGUAAAUUCUAGCCGCCUAAAAACUGGGCCCUCAAUACCCGAGACGGAAACUUUUCUUCAACUUCCUCGACGCGGUUUAUUUUCCGCGGGGGUAACGAAACGCGCGAGCCUCUUCAACGAGAAGUGGUUCUGAUUUUAUAUUUUAUAUUCUUAUUUCAAGCACUGUCCGUAUUUUCGAUUAAUUAAUUAAACGAACGUGAUUGGUGACACGGAAGAGGAAUCAUUCUAUUCUAUAUCUGCAUAUUUUGUAGACGAUACGUCGGAUAAAAAUUGGAAUUGACGAUGCGUUCUCCUAUAUUCGUGAAUCAAUCUGACCGAGUUGUGAGUAAGAACAACGGAUGCGAUCAUUUCCAAGAAUACUACGACUCCUCUCUGGAAAUAAUCACGAGAUGAUUGAUGGAACUUGAAACUACAGAAAGAUGAAGAAUCAGGACGAUGUGUUACGAACAGUGAAAAUGGAAAGUAAAAGCGGAAAGGAAAUGCAGUUAUCAAAUUGACUGCUAUAAAUGAUUUAUUUAACGAAACGAGAAAACCGGUGACUUAUCAGAAGCUAUUUACGGAGGCCAUUGUCACUGGCGUUGCGCAAGGAACACGUUCCGCGGCGUACAAACGAGAAAUCGAUUUGUAUUUCGCCUUUCACGCUGACCUGUUUCGCCGGGCGAAGAAUUCGCUCGGUCUCUCUGUGGACCGUCGCGUUCUUCUCCCAAGAGGAAUAAGUACGAACGCGUUUCGCUCGAACGCUCAUCCGACCACGGAUCCUCUUCUCUCUGCGAAGGUCGAGGAUGAACGGCGCGCAUCCAUGCGUGCCAAAUUCGCCUAUACUAAUCGCGAUCCCAUGUGCAAGAAGUUGUUAACUUGAACGAGGAAAGGAAAAGAGAAGAGUAUAAAUUCCUAAUCAUGGCCUCUUGCAAUUACGAUAAAUUUGAUAUUUAAUGGUUGUUACUUUUACUUAUGCAGAAUAAAUGCACAUACAGAACAAUUA
Long non-coding RNA from Ceratina calcarata, 1984 nucleotides. RefSeq lists it as uncharacterized. Lineage: Eukaryota; Metazoa; Arthropoda; Insecta; Hymenoptera; Apidae. The record is from RefSeq and is a predicted model, not a curated record. The transcript is spliced from 2 exons.